Molecule: ribosomal RNA, 589 nt
Filed under: uncultured bacterium
Lineage: Bacteria
Description: bacterial SSU rRNA
Rfam family: Bacterial small subunit ribosomal RNA
Source: RNAcentral
AGAGUUUGAUCCUGGCUCAGAUUGAACGCUGGCGGCAGGCCUAACACAUGCAAGUCGAGCGGUAGAGAGAAGCUUGCUUCUCUUGAGAGCGGCGGACGGGUGAGUAAUACCUAGGAAUCUGCCUGAUAGUGGGGGAUAACGUUCGGAAACGGACGCUAAUACCGCAUACGUCCUACGGGAGAAAGCAGGGGACCUUCGGGCCUUGCGCUAUCAGAUGAGCCUAGGUCGGAUUAGCUAAUUGGUGAGGUAAUGGCUCACCAAGGCUACGAUCCGUAACUGGUCUGAGAGGAUGAUCAGUCACACUGGAACUGAGACACGGUCCAGACUCCUACGGGAGGCAGCAGUGGGGAAUAUUGGACAAUGGGCGAAAGCCUGAUCCAGCCAUGCCGCGUGUGUGAAGAAGGUCUUCGGAUUGUAAAGCACUUUAAGUUGGGAGGAAGGGCAGUUACCUAAUACGUGACUGUCUUGACGUUACCGACAGAAUAAGCACCGGCUAACUCUGUGCCAGCAGCCGCGGUAAUACAGAGGGUGCAAGCGUUAAUCGGAAUUACUGGGCGUAAAGCGCGCGUAGGUGGUUUGUUAAGUUGAA